RNAcentral lists this ribosomal RNA (250 nucleotides) under uncultured bacterium. Its description in RNAcentral is "partial 16S ribosomal RNA". It matches the Rfam family "Bacterial small subunit ribosomal RNA", at positions 524 to 773 of the family's 1533-position model. The record is from RNAcentral.
UACGGGGGGAGCGAACGUUGUUCGGAAUCACUGGGCGUAAAGGGCGCGUAGGCGGCCUUGUAAGUGGGAUGUGAAAGCCCCCGGCUCAACCGGGGAACUGCGUUUCAUACUGCGAGGCUUGAGUGCAGGAGAGGAUGGGGGAAUUCCCGGUGUAGCGGUGAAAUGCAUUGAUAUCGGGAGGAACACCAGUGGCGAAGGCGCCCAUCUGGCCUGCUACUGACGCUCAGGCGCGAAAGCUGGGGGAGCAAAC